UCCUACGGGAGGCAGCAGUGAGGAAUAUUGGACAAUGGACGAAAGUCUGAUCCAGCCAUGCCGCGUGCAGGAUGACGGCCCUAUGGGUUGUAAACUGCUUUUAUACAGGAAGAAACACUCCCACGUGUGGGGGCUUGACGGUACUGUACGAAUAAGGAUCGGCUAACUCCGUGCCAGCAGCCGCGGUAAUA
RNAcentral lists this ribosomal RNA (191 nucleotides) under uncultured Flavobacterium sp. RNAcentral's name for it is "partial 16S ribosomal RNA". It matches the Rfam family "Bacterial small subunit ribosomal RNA", at positions 337 to 525 of the family's 1533-position model. The record is from RNAcentral. Lineage: Bacteria; Pseudomonadati; Bacteroidota; Flavobacteriia; Flavobacteriales; Flavobacteriaceae.